This is a long non-coding RNA of Ictalurus punctatus (channel catfish), 833 nucleotides long. The record is from Ensembl. Lineage: Eukaryota; Metazoa; Chordata; Actinopteri; Siluriformes; Ictaluridae.
AUUUAAAUAGCGUUACAUUAAAUAUAUAUAAAGUAAUAUACAGUGCUAUAGUGCAGGUUUAUCUCCAGCAAUUGCUUAUUAAAUGGAUACAGUAACAGCAGUCGUUUCAUUUUCUCUUGAAUGUAGCUGUUUAAAAAAACAGCAUGCAUUGUCUCAAGAGGUUUACUGUUUUCAGGGUUUUUUCCCAGUGUUGUAUUGCUUUUUUCUAAGGAUGCUAUAUGCAGACAAUGCAGAUUUCAAAGCCUAGCUGCUCGAGUGCCGUCAUACUUCCUAGAAAUCAAACAGGUCACAGCGCUACUUAUUAGGAUGAGAAGACAAGACAAUCAUAUGAAUAUGAAUCAUGCGCAGCAACUCCCAACAUCAUGGCUGGGAUUUUUACUAUUAUACCCCACAGACAUGCUUGGAAGAAGUAAUUAAAGAAAUCUUUCUCCUCCCUCUCAUAUUCUUCUAAAAUCAUCAGAAGCACACUUCAAGAGCAUAAAGUAUGUAGGGCAACUCAGUGAUAGCUUGUGUGUAUGAGGAGAGCGAGAGAGAGAGAGAGAGAGAGAGAGAGAGAGAGAGAGAGAGAGAGAGAGCGAGAGAGAGAGAGAGAGAGAGAGAGAGAGAGCAAAGCAUAGAGAGAGAGAGAGGGAGAGAGAGAGAGAGAGAGAGAGAGAGAGAGAGAGAGAGAGAGAGAGAGAGAGAGAGAGAGAGAGAGAGAGAACCCAUGCUUUAUGUAAAUCCUUUUGCAUGAAUAUAAUUAUUUGCAUGGCUUUAUUGCUAAUCUUCAAUAGACAACAAAAACAUUUACAGAGAAAAGAAAAUACCAAGUUUCUCACUUGUGAUGUACCCUA